AAUAAAGAAAAACUCUCAGAACUCUCACAGAGAGCUGAAAUGUUCAUAACUAUCAAAUAGAAGUUAACUACAUGUACUAAACUGAAGAAGUGUAAUCUUUUUAACUUUGCUUAAAAUGCUGCUGAUCCUUUGUUUUGCUUUUCAGAGUUAAGAAUACUUUUGAGCUAUUUACAACUUUUAGCAAUUGAGUAAAAUAUCCUCCUGUGAACAAAAUUUGGAGCAUAUUUGUUUCUCUCUGCCUGACUUCUCCAAAAUUUGGAAACUAUUUCUUGUUUUAAAGCACAGGUCUAGUGAGUUUCCGAGUAGAGGAACGCUGAUCAGCUUCUGCCACCUUGUGGCCACGCAAAGUAACACUCUGUGCCUGCAGGAGAAAGCCAGGGUGGUUCCUCUCCAGGUAAACCUUGCAAUGGCUCUGAGGCGCUGGGAGAAGGGAUCACGUCUGGCCCAACUACAAACGUCAGAAACGAUCUUCUUAAAGAGAAAAGUGGCUUCGUGGUUCCCAUUAGUUUUGCUGACUGCACUGUGAAAGCAAAAUUUAUACACAGAAGUGGAACAGAGAGCAUAAAAUAACCCUUUGAGCUGUCUAAAGUCAUACCAAAUAUUUUAAGUAAAAAUAGAAUAAAUGAAUUUGAUGCACAGAAACCAAUAAAUUCAAAACAAAUCAGA
Non-coding RNA from Macaca mulatta (Rhesus monkey), 666 nucleotides. The record is from RefSeq and is a predicted model, not a curated record. NCBI's taxonomy places the organism in Eukaryota, Metazoa, Chordata, Mammalia, Primates, Cercopithecidae.